GACGAACGCUGGCGGCGUGCUUAACACAUGCAAGUCGAACGGGUCUGCCCUGUUUUUUGCGGGGUGGGUCAGUGGCGAACGGGUGAGUAACACGUGAGUAACCUGCCCCUCACUUCUGGAUAACCGCUUGAAAGGGUGGCUAAUACGGGGUGUUCUGGCUGUGCCGCAUGGUGUGGCUGGGAAAGAUUCACUUUUGUGGUGUUUUGGUGGGGGAUGGGCUCGCGGCCUAUCAGCUUGUUGGUGGGGUGAUGGCCUGCCAAGGCUUUGACGGGUAGCCGGCCUGAGAGGGUGGGCGGUCACACUGGGACGGAGAUACGGCCCAGACUCCUGCGGGAGGCAGCAGUGGGGGGUAUUGCACAAUGGGCGGAAGCCUGAUGCAGCGACGUCGCGUGAGGGAUGGAGGCCUUCGGGUUGUGAACCUCUUUCGCCGGUGAAGAAGGUCCUGCUCUUUGUGGUGGGGUUGACGGUAGCCGGGUUAUGAAGCGCCGGCUAACUACGUG
RNAcentral lists this ribosomal RNA (500 nucleotides) under uncultured bacterium. RNAcentral describes it as "partial 16S ribosomal RNA". It matches the Rfam family "Bacterial small subunit ribosomal RNA", at positions 28 to 507 of the family's 1533-position model. The record is from RNAcentral.